This is a long non-coding RNA of Mastomys coucha (southern multimammate mouse), 731 nucleotides long. RefSeq lists it as uncharacterized. NCBI's taxonomy places the organism in Eukaryota, Metazoa, Chordata, Mammalia, Rodentia, Muridae. The transcript is spliced from 2 exons. The record is from RefSeq and is a predicted model, not a curated record.
GUAGAGACUGUGGGCCUCAGUCUCUUCUUGCCCCCAUUCUGAUAGCAGAGGCUGCAGGCAUAAAAGCAGCUGGACCAUCUGAACCUCUAGGUUUCAGCUGAGGUGAACCGAUCAUGUGAUUAUCUCAUAUUGUAGAAUAAGAAUAACCUCCAAAAGACAAAGAACAGAUUCAGAAAAAGCAUUUGACAAAAGCCAACACUGAGGACAGGAAACAUCCUCAAUGCCACAUCCUGUGUCUUCAAGAGUCCACAGCCAACAACUACACAGCCUCGGAAAGCCCACAGCUAACACACUUGAUAGCGAAAAGCCAGUGUGUUGGUUGGUGCACGCCCGUGAUCCCUGCACUUGGGAGGCCAUCCUUGGAUACAGAGUGGGCUACCAGAGGCCCUAUCUCAGAUAAGUGGGAUCGUUCCUUUAAAUCAGCACCAAGGCAAAGCUGCUCUAACCACUCCCCAGCAUGGAGGAGCUACUCAGUAUCCUAGAGUGAUGGCUCACCAAGGCCAUCAGGUAAGACAAGGGAGGAAGACUUUAAACUAUCUCUGUUCACAGAAACUGGCCUCCCCUCCCAGACAGGUAUGUCUGUAGAGAAGCCAGAAGAGGGCCCCAGAUCCCCCGGAACUGGAAUUACAGGUGAUUGUGAGCCACAGUAAGGGUGUUGGGAUUUGUGUUGAAAAUUAUAAAAUGUUGGGAAAAAAAAAAUCAAAAUAUACUGUGUUCAAAGAUUGGCAAAA